ACUCCUACGGGAGGCAGCAGUGGGGAAUAUUGCACAAUGGAGGAAACUCUGAUGCAGCAACGCCGCGUGGAGGAUGACACUUUUCGGAGCGUAAACUCCUUUUAUAUAGGAAGAUAAAUGACGGUACUAU
This 130-nucleotide ribosomal RNA is filed under the name uncultured bacterium. RNAcentral's name for it is "partial 16S ribosomal RNA". It matches the Rfam family "Bacterial small subunit ribosomal RNA", at positions 335 to 481 of the family's 1533-position model. The record is from RNAcentral.